UCUGAGACCGGCGCACGGGUGCGUAACGCGUAUGCAAUCUACCUUUCACAGAGGGAUAGCCCAGAGAAAUUUGGAUUAAUACCUCAUAGUAUAAUUGAGUGGCAUCACUUACUUAUUAAAGAUUUAUCGGUGAAAGAUGAGCAUGCGUCCCAUUAGCUAGUUGGUAUGGUAACGGCAUACCAAGGCAACGAUGGGUAGGGGUCCUGAGAGGGAGAUCCCCCACACUGGUACUGAGACACGGACCAGACUCC
This 251-nucleotide ribosomal RNA is filed under the name uncultured bacterium. Its description in RNAcentral is "partial 16S ribosomal RNA". It matches the Rfam family "Bacterial small subunit ribosomal RNA", at positions 88 to 339 of the family's 1533-position model. The record is from RNAcentral.